GUCUAUGGCCAUGCCACCCUGAACAUGCCCGAUCUUGUUGAUCUUGGAAGCUAAGCAGAGUUGUGCCUGGUUAGUACUUGGAUGGGAGACCGCCUAGGAAUACCAGGUGCUGUAGGUU
This 118-nucleotide ribosomal RNA is filed under the name Pteropus alecto (black flying fox). Lineage: Eukaryota; Metazoa; Chordata; Mammalia; Chiroptera; Pteropodidae. The record is from RNAcentral.